GACAGCAGCCAUAUCACUCUGCAACUCACAACUGGCAACCCACUGAAGCUAAGAAGGUGUGAGCCUGGUCAGUACCUGGAUGGGAGACGUCCUGGGAAAAACAAAGGUUGCUGCUGGAA
RNAcentral lists this ribosomal RNA (119 nucleotides) under Lepisosteus oculatus (spotted gar). Lineage: Eukaryota; Metazoa; Chordata; Actinopteri; Semionotiformes; Lepisosteidae. The record is from RNAcentral.